Molecule: long non-coding RNA, 668 nt
Filed under: Salvia miltiorrhiza (redroot sage)
Lineage: Eukaryota; Viridiplantae; Streptophyta; Magnoliopsida; Lamiales; Lamiaceae
Description: long non-coding RNA (SMIL_LNC011550)
Source: RNAcentral
UUAACGUGGUUCGGCCAAAUUGCCUACGUCCACGGACCCACACCAAUAUAUUAGAGAAUCUCAAAAAAGGAGGAGUACAACAAAAUUACCACACUGUAUUUUGUAUCUGCCUACGCAGAGGCUAUCUCUCAACUCACUUUUAUCACUCGUGUAUAACUUCCACACUGAAGUUUUCUCUCACAAGAUUUUUCUCUCUCUAUUUCUCUCUCUAUCUUUCUUAGCUGAAAGCUUUGUUUGAUAGUUGUUUGGUGUGUUGUGUUGCUGCUGCGAGGAAGGAUUUUAUAGGGGAUGAGAGGUGGUAGGUGGCAGAUGGUGGUAGGUGGCAAAGAGUGGGAGGUGGUAGGUGGCUUACCUACUUCCAUUUUUUACUAACAUUAUAGCAGCUGAAAGUAUCUAUCGCCAGCAUAAUAUCCCAGAACUAAUAUGUUUUAGAUGGUAAAGUGCAGAAUAAUUGGACGAUUUGGAUGGUCUGAAUGCAAAGUAUUAUUAUCCCCUCAUAUAGAAUUAUUUCUUACUCAAUUUAAUACAAAGUAACUAAAAUUUUGGGGGGAAAUAAAUAGUAUAAGAUUCAGUUUCAACCAUGCAUCUUAACUAAGUUUUCAAUCUCACUAGAGCCACUUCUCCGAGAAAGAUAAAUGAAAUAAAAUUAAUAUCGGCUUAAAUUAUUU